RNAcentral lists this ribosomal RNA (383 nucleotides) under uncultured eukaryote. Its description in RNAcentral is "partial 18S ribosomal RNA". It matches the Rfam family "Eukaryotic small subunit ribosomal RNA", at positions 592 to 975 of the family's 1831-position model. The record is from RNAcentral.
CAAUAGCGUAUAUUAAAGUUGUUGCAGUUAAAAAGCUCGUAGUUGGAUUUCUGGUGGGAGCGACCGGUCGGCGCUUAACGGCGUGUGCACUGGAGUUGUCUCUUGCCAUCCUUGAGGAGAACGUGUCUGGCAUUAAGUUGUCGGGCUUGGGAUCCUCAUCGUUUACUGUGAAAAAAUUAGAGUGUUUAAAGCAGGCAUUUGCUGUGAAUACAUUAGCAUGGAAUAAUAAGAUAGGACUUUGGUGCUAUUUUGUUGGUUUGCGUACCAAGGUAAUGAUUAAUAGGGAUAGUUGGGGGUAUUCGUAUUCAAUUGUCAGAGGUGAAAUUCUUGGAUUUAUGGAAGACGAACAGCUGCGAAAGCAUUUACCAAGGAUGUUUUCAUUA